RNAcentral lists this transfer RNA (76 nucleotides) under Bacillota bacterium. RNAcentral describes it as "tRNA-Val". It matches the Rfam family "tRNA". Rfam says of the family: Transfer RNA (tRNA) molecules are approximately 80 nucleotides in length. Their secondary structure includes four short double-helical elements and three loops (D, anti-codon, and T loops). The record is from RNAcentral. RNAcentral also lists the same sequence under 1 other name. Lineage: Bacteria; Bacillati; Bacillota.
GGGGGCAUAGCUCAGCUGGGAGAGCGCUUGCCUUACAAGCAAGAUGUCGGCGGUUCGAGCCCGUCUGCCCCCACCA